RNAcentral lists this ribosomal RNA (561 nucleotides) under Pichia manshurica. RNAcentral's name for it is "partial large subunit ribosomal RNA". It matches the Rfam family "Eukaryotic large subunit ribosomal RNA", at positions 75 to 669 of the family's 3401-position model. Lineage: Eukaryota; Fungi; Ascomycota; Pichiomycetes; Pichiales; Pichiaceae. The record is from RNAcentral.
UUCCCAUAACGCGAGUGAAGCGGCAAGAGCUCAGAUUUGAAAUCGUGUUUCGGCACGAGUUGUAGAGUGUAGCGGGAGUCUCUGUGGAGCGCGGUGUCCAAGUCCCUUGGAACAGGGUGCCUGAAGGGUGAGAGCCCCGUACGGUGCUGCGCGAAGCUUUUGAGGCCCUGCUGACGAGUCGAGUUGUUUGGGAAUGCAGCUCCAAGCGGGUGGUAAAUUCCAUCUAAGGCUAAAUAUUGGCGAGAGACCGAUAGCGAACAAGUACUGUGAAGGAAAGAUGAAAAGCACUUUGAAAAGAGAGUGAAACAGCACGUGAAAUUGUUGAAAGGGAAGGGUAUUGGGCUCGACAUGGGGGGUGCGCACCGCUGUCUCUUGUAGGCGGCGCUCUGGGCGCCCUCUGGGCCAGCAUCGGUUCCUGCUGCGGGAGAAGGGGCUCCGGAAAGUGGCUCUUCGGAGUGUUAUAGCCGGGGCCAGAUGCCGCGUGUGGGGACCGAGGACUGCGGCUUCUGUCUCGGAUGCUGGCAUAACGGCGCAAUACCGCCGUCUGGAAAACCCGACAAA